Molecule: ribosomal RNA, 253 nt
Filed under: uncultured bacterium
Lineage: Bacteria
Description: partial 16S ribosomal RNA
Rfam family: Bacterial small subunit ribosomal RNA
Source: RNAcentral
GACGUAGGGCGCGAGCGUUGUCCGGAUUUAUUGGGCGUAAAGAGCUCGUAGGCGGCUUGUCGCGUCGUCUGUGAAAACCCGCGGCUCAACGGCGGGCUUGCAGUCGAUACGGGCAGGCUGGAGUUCGGUAGGGGAGACUGGAAUUCCUGGUGUAGCGGUGAAAUGCGCAGAUAUCGGGAGGAACACCUGUGGCGAAGGCGGCCCCCUGGUUGGAUACUGACGCUGAGACGCGAAAGCGUGGGGAGCAAACAGG